UACGGAAGGCAGCAGUGGGGAAUAUUGCACAAUGGGCGCAAGCCUGAUGCAGCCAUGCCGCGUGUAUGAAGAAGGCCUUCGGGUUGUAAAGUACUUUCAGCGGGGAGGAAGGCGAUGUGGUUAAUAACCGCGUCGAUUGACGUUACCCGCAGAAGAAGCACCGGCUAACUCCGUGCCAGCAGCCGCGGUAAUACGGAGGGUGCAAGCGUUAAUCGGAAUUACUGGGCGUAAAGCGCACGCAGGCGGUCUGUUAAGUCAGAUGUGAAAUCCCCGGGCUUAAACCUGGGAACUGCAUUUUGAAACUGGCAGGCUUGAGUCUCGUAGAGGGGGUAGAAUUCCAGGUGUAGCGGUGAAAUGCGUAGAGAUCUGGAGGAAAUCCGGUGGCGAAGGCGGCCCCUGGACGAAGACUGACGCUCAGGUGCGAAAGCGUGGGGAGCGAAAACAGGGAUUAGGAUACC
This 458-nucleotide ribosomal RNA is filed under the name uncultured bacterium. RNAcentral describes it as "bacterial SSU rRNA". It matches the Rfam family "Bacterial small subunit ribosomal RNA", at positions 340 to 786 of the family's 1533-position model. The record is from RNAcentral.